GCGAGCGGGAACAGUCUCCUCCACUCGGAGCGGCGCCAUCUUCAGCUCUGAGUCACCAGGGCUGGAAAAAUACUAGAUGCGCUACUCGUGGACUCGUGAAUACACUCGUGAAUACAGGCCAUUUCCUGUACCUACAGCCACGCGCUGGCAUGGGAAGAGGACCAUAGUUUCUGUGGCCUCCCUAAGAUGGCCUGCCACCUCUCCUGAUGCUGGUGACUUCUUGUGAUGGUGGGGCAAUAUUAAGUGUUUGAAAAAGGAAGAAGUUCUUAUUCCCAAAGUUGUAUUCAGUUAUCAAAACAACAAUUAUUUUGUAUAAACUGCAUCAGAGACAACUGAAGAUGAAAGAACUACCAUCUCCACAUAUAACUAAUUUGUGCAGUGCACCAGAAAGAACCUGUUUAAAUUUCCAUGCCAAUUUACAACCCCCAUACUGUGCCAG
This 439-nucleotide long non-coding RNA is filed under the name Pan troglodytes (chimpanzee). RNAcentral's name for it is "lincRNA". The record is from RNAcentral. Lineage: Eukaryota; Metazoa; Chordata; Mammalia; Primates; Hominidae.